RNAcentral lists this small RNA (132 nucleotides) under Klebsiella quasipneumoniae. RNAcentral's name for it is "RtT sRNA". It matches the Rfam family "RtT RNA". Rfam says of the family: This family represents a bacterial cis-regulatory element known as RtT RNA. The exact function of RtT is unknown although it is thought that it may be involved in changing the cellular response in relation to amino acid starvation. The record is from RNAcentral. Lineage: Bacteria; Pseudomonadati; Pseudomonadota; Gammaproteobacteria; Enterobacterales; Enterobacteriaceae.
UAUUCUGCCCCACGGGGAAGGAUGAGAAGCUUCGACUAAGGUUCGACUCGAGCGUAGCGAGAGAACGUUGCCGCAGGCAACGGCCCGAAGGGCGAGGAGCGAUAGCGACGAGUUAUCCUUCCCCCACCACCA